GAGUGUUUGGUAUCAAUUUGGGGUGGUUUGGUAUAGGUUGGGUUUUGGCUCGAAUCUUCAAAUGAAGAUUCAAGAAGAUGUGGAAUGAUCCGAGCCAAGGGAGUGGUAGAUUUGGAUUCAGGGUGUGAAGGGGGUUCUGUGGUGUUAAGGAGGUGACCGUCGGCGUAGUUGCCGCUGGGUUUCUGGUGAAGGGAACUAAUGGCGGCUAGGGUUUUCAAAG
This 220-nucleotide long non-coding RNA is filed under the name Nicotiana benthamiana. RNAcentral's name for it is "long non-coding RNA (NBEN_LNC028793)". The record is from RNAcentral. Lineage: Eukaryota; Viridiplantae; Streptophyta; Magnoliopsida; Solanales; Solanaceae.